Molecule: unclassified non-coding RNA, 243 nt
Filed under: Glomeromycetes sp.
Lineage: Eukaryota; Fungi; Glomeromycota; Glomeromycetes
Description: partial contains 5.8S ribosomal RNA and internal transcribed spacer 2
Rfam family: 5.8S ribosomal RNA (bases 1-65)
Source: RNAcentral
GUGAAUCAUCGAAUUUUUGAACGCAAAUUGCACUCUCUUCGGAGAGUAUGCCUGUUUGAGGGUCAGUAUUAAUAAAAAUCGGUUUGUUGCUUCUUUGUGUCACUCCUGUGUUUGGGUCAUCUUAAUAUUCUUUAAUUUUUAAGAGGCUUAAAAUUGACUUUUUUUUCUCAUUUUAUAUGUUCUUAAGUUCGUUUUUUUCUUCUUCGGUCUUAAUGCUCACAAUCCUAGUCGCUGCUACCAUAC